RNAcentral lists this non-coding RNA (29 nucleotides) under Homo sapiens (human). The record is from RNAcentral. Lineage: Eukaryota; Metazoa; Chordata; Mammalia; Primates; Hominidae.
UUGGAGGAUAUGACAUUUGGAGAGGUCUC